GAUGAAGUGCAGUUCAUCUGUGGUGUUCUUUUUCAAGAGGCCAUCAUAUAUGCCCUGGCUGUCCUAUGGAAUUCGUCCUUGGAGGAGGCUGAGCAGGUCUUCCUUUCUGGUCCGGAUUAUCAUUACAGGAGUUGAAGCCUACAGCCAUUCUGUCCAUGCAGCAACUGAUGGAAAAGGGGGGCUUUUUUGUG
This is a long non-coding RNA of Sinocyclocheilus rhinocerous, 191 nucleotides long. RefSeq lists it as uncharacterized. The record is from RefSeq and is a predicted model, not a curated record. NCBI's taxonomy places the organism in Eukaryota, Metazoa, Chordata, Actinopteri, Cypriniformes, Cyprinidae. The transcript is spliced from 3 exons.